GAAACAUCUUAGUACCCGGAGGAAGAGAAAGAAAAUUCGAUUCCCUUAGUAGCGGCGAGCGAAACGGGAAGAGCCCAAACCAACAAGCUUGCUUGUUGGGGUUGUAGGACACUCUAUACGGAGUUACAAAGGACGACAUUAGACGAAUCAUCUGGAAAGAUGAAUCAAAGAAGGUAAUAAUCCUGUAGUCGAAAAUGUUGUCUCUCUUGAGUGGAUCCUGAGUACGACGGAGCACGUGAAAUUCCGUCGGAAUCUGGGAGGACCAUCUCCUAAGGCUAAAUACUCUCUAGUGACCGAUAGUGAACCAGUACCGUGAGGGAAAGGUGAAAAGCACCCCGGAAGGGGAGUGAAAUAGAACCUGAAACCGUGUGCUUACAAGUAGUCAGAGCCCGUUAAUGGGUGAUGGCGUGCCUUUUGUAGAAUGAACCGGCGAGUUACGAUUUGAUGCAAGGUUAAGCAGUAAAUGUGGAGCCGUAGCGAAAGCGAGUCUGAAUAGGGCGUUUAGUAUUUGGUCGUAGACCCGAAACCAGGUGAUCUACCCUUGGUCAGGUUGAAGUUCAGGUAACACUGAAUGGAGGACCGAACCGACUUACGUUGAAAAGUGAGCGGAUGAACUGAGGGUAGCGGAGAAAUUCCAAUCGAACCUGGAGAUAGCUGGUUCUCUCCGAAAUAGCUUUAGGGCUAGCCUCAAGUGAUGAUUAUUGGAGGUAGAGCACUGUUUGGACGAGGGGCCCCUCUCGGGUUACCGAAUUCAGACAAACUCCGAAUGCCAAUUAAUUUAACUUGGGAGUCAGAACAUGGGUGAUAAGGUCCGUGUUCGAAAGGGAAACAGCCCAGACCACCAGCUAAGGUCCCAAAAUAUAUGUUAAGUGGAAAAGGAUGUGGCGUUGCCCAGACAACUAGGAUGUUGGCUUAGAAGCAGCCAUCAUUUAAAGAGUGCGUAAUAGCUCACUAGUCGAGUGACACUGCGCCGAAAAUGUACCGGGGCUAAACAUAUUACCGAAGCUGUGGAUUGUCCUUUGGACAAUGGUAGGAGAGCGUUCUAAGGGCGUUGAAGCAUGAUCGUAAGGACAUGUGGAGCGCUUAGAAGUGAGAAUGCCGGUGUGAGUAGCGAAAGACGGGUGAGAAUCCCGUCCACCGAUUGACUAAGGUUUCCAGAGGAAGGCUCGUCCGCUCUGGGUUAGUCGGGUCCUAAGCUGAGGCCGACAGGCGUAGGCGAUGGAUAACAGGUUGAUAUUCCUGUACCACCUAUAAUCGUUUUAAUCGAUGGGGGGACGCAGUAGGAUAGGCGAAGCGUGCGAUUGGAUUGCACGUCUAAGCAGUAAGGCUGAGUAUUAGGCAAAUCCGGUACUCGUUAAGGCUGAGCUGUGAUGGGGAGAAGACAUUGUGUCUUCGAGUCGUUGAUUUCACACUGCCGAGAAAAGCCUCUAGAUAGAAAAUAGGUGCCCGUACCGCAAACCGACACAGGUAGUCAAGAUGAGAAUUCUAAGGUGAGCGAGCGAACUCUCGUUAAGGAACUCGGCAAAAUGACCCCGUAACUUCGGGAGAAGGGGUGCUCUUUAGGGUUAACGCCCAGAAGAGCCGCAGUGAAUAGGCCCAAGCGACUGUUUAUCAAAAACACAGGUCUCUGCUAAACCGUAAGGUGAUGUAUAGGGGCUGACGCCUGCCCGGUGCUGGAAGGUUAAGAGGAGUGGUUAGCUUCUGCGAAGCUACGAAUCGAAGCCCCAGUAAACGGCGGCCGUAACUAUAACGGUCCUAAGGUAGCGAAAUUCCUUGUCGGGUAAGUUCCGACCCGCACGAAAGGCGUAACGAUUUGGGCACUGUCUCAACGAGAGACUCGGUGAAAUCAUAGUACCUGUGAAGAUGCAGGUUACCCGCGACAGGACGGAAAGACCCCGUGGAGCUUUACUGUAGCCUGAUAUUGAAAUUCGGCACAGCUUGUACAGGAUAGGUAGGAGCCUUUGAAACGUGAGCGCUAGCUUACGUGGAGGCGCUGGUGGGAUACUACCCUAGCUGUGUUGGCUUUCUAACCCGCACCACUUAUCGUGGUGGGAGACAGUGUCAGGCGGGCAGUUUGACUGGGGCGGUCGCCUCCUAAAAGGUAACGGAGGCGCUCAAAGGUUCCCUCAGAAUGGUUGGAAAUCAUUCAUAGAGUGUAAAGGCAUAAGGGAGCUUGACUGCGAGACCUACAAGUCGAGCAGGGUCGAAAGACGGACUUAGUGAUCCGGUGGUUCCGCAUGGAAGGGCCAUCGCUCAACGGAUAAAAGCUACCCCGGGGAUAACAGGCUUAUCUCCCCCAAGAGUUCACAUCGACGGGGAGGUUUGGCACCUCGAUGUCGGCUCAUCGCAUCCUGGGGCUGUAGUCGGUCCCAAGGGUUGGGCUGUUCGCCCAUUAAAGCGGUACGCGAGCUGGGUUCAG
RNAcentral lists this ribosomal RNA (2419 nucleotides) under Staphylococcus aureus. Its description in RNAcentral is "partial 23S ribosomal RNA". It matches the Rfam family "Bacterial large subunit ribosomal RNA", at positions 195 to 2614 of the family's 2925-position model. Lineage: Bacteria; Bacillati; Bacillota; Bacilli; Caryophanales; Staphylococcaceae. The record is from RNAcentral.